UGAUCCUGGCUCAGGAUGAACGCUAGCGGCAGGCCUAACACAUGCAAGUCGAACGGUAACAGGGAUUAGCUUGCUAAUCCGCUGACGAGUGGCGCACGGGUGCGUAACGCGUAUACAAUCUGCCUUUAAGCGGGGAAUAGCCCAUGGAAACGUGGAUUAAUACCCUAUAGUCUAUAAACUUCACCUGGAGAUUAUAGUAAACAUUUAUGGCUUAAAGAUGAGUAUGCGUCCUAUUAGUUAGUUGGUAAGGUAACGGCUUACCAAGACGGCGAUAGGUAGGGGUCCUGAGAGGGAGAUCCCCCACACUGGUACUGAGACACGGACCAGACUCCUACGGGAGGCAGCAG
This 347-nucleotide ribosomal RNA is filed under the name Detonula confervacea. Its description in RNAcentral is "partial Bacterial small subunit ribosomal RNA". It matches the Rfam family "Bacterial small subunit ribosomal RNA", at positions 14 to 354 of the family's 1533-position model. Lineage: Eukaryota; Bacillariophyta; Thalassiosirophyceae; Thalassiosirales; Thalassiosiraceae. The record is from RNAcentral.